This is a long non-coding RNA of Jaculus jaculus (lesser Egyptian jerboa), 298 nucleotides long. RefSeq lists it as uncharacterized. Lineage: Eukaryota; Metazoa; Chordata; Mammalia; Rodentia; Dipodidae. The record is from RefSeq and is a predicted model, not a curated record. The transcript is spliced from 2 exons.
UAUGUAGCUGGCUUUAUAUCAGCACUGGGAAAUGGAACCCAGGCCAACAGACUUUGUGUGCUGGGCAUCAAAGUGAGGACAUGCUGCUCUGGGACCCCAGUGGCAAGAUUGCCCAUAAGAAGCCCCUGUCUGACCGCAUGACCAUCGUGGAACCCAAAGAUGAGAUCCUUCCCACAGCCCCCUUCUCAGCCAUGUCUCAGCCAGUUCCUACAUAAUAGCAAGGUCUUGACCACUGCAGCUGGAGGCUGGAUAUUGCUCUGUAAAGACAUUUAAUAAAAUCUUGCACAAAGAAAAGUAA